RNAcentral lists this long non-coding RNA (5658 nucleotides) under Mus musculus (house mouse). RNAcentral's name for it is "long non-coding RNA chr18:7897369-7903027". Lineage: Eukaryota; Metazoa; Chordata; Mammalia; Rodentia; Muridae. The record is from RNAcentral.
AGAAACCCUGUCUUGAAAAACCCAAAAAAAAAAAAACCUUUCAUAUCAUUUUUUUAUGUCCUUAAAGUCUGUUUUUAUAAUUGUUUAUAAUUACAGAAGAAAGUUUGAGAAGUUUAUUGGAUUGCGGUGACAAGUGGAGAGAUUGUUUUCUCUGACAUUUGUAGAAUUUGAUCAAUUAUCCUCUCAGGCAAGGACUUAGAGAUCUUGUGCUUCAGGAAGUUCUUCAGUACACUAAAAAUACCUUGAGGAGAUAGCUCUCACCCUCCACUUUGGGUUUGGGUGGGCACGUUUUCUGUGUGUCAUUCAGCAGCCUGGGGCAUUUUUCUAUAGUUUUUAACAAAGCUUUAAAAUAUUUACUUAUUUAAUGUAUGUUGGUGAGGGUUUUGUGUGUGUGUGUGUUUCUGUAUGUUUCUGUAAUGUGCCUGGUAUCAAAGGAAGCCAAAAAAGAUGUGUUGGAAUUGUUGGGCCUCUGUUUGCACAUGAUUCCUCUGAAGAGGAGCAACUGUUCUUAACUGCUGAGCCUGCUCUCCAGGGCUGCUUUUCUCCAAUUUUUAAAUUGGGUUCUUUUUACAGAGCUGUAAAAUUUCUUGUUAUUAUAGCAGUUCACAGUCAUUUUUACAUACUGUUUAUGAUUGUAAAAAUGUCAUAUCCAUCCUUAUUACCAAAGUCUAGAUAGAGUUCCGUGUAUAAAAAUGGCAUAGUUUUUGCAUAUGGCCUAUACUCAUCUGCUGUAUCAUGUGUAAUUUCUGCUAUAAUUCAAGUGCCAUGCAGUUAGAAUUGUUUUAUCAUAUAUUGUUUAGUUAAAUAUAUUUAAAUGGUCUAUAUGAGCAAUGAUAGUAUAAUAUUUUGUACUUUUUGAUUGUUUGAUUAGUGUGAAUAUCACAUGCCUGCUGUGCUCGCAUGCAUACACACACACACACACACAGUAAGGCUCAAUUCAUGACCUUUGUUUUAAGUGUUUACUAACUGGUGGCUAUCAUUAAAAUUAUCAGAGAUUCAAAAGUGAUCUCUGACUAUCAUGUGUAGUCCUUGUUAAUUUAUCUUCUAAUCUACUCAUUCUCAUUAAGAGACACUGUCUGGUUCAGUUUUGGUUUGACAUCUCAGUACUAGUCGGCUACUGAGUAUUUUGUAAAUUACAGCACAAUCCAAAGUUAACUUACCUUGGUUCAUGCAUUGAAACAUAUUUUCAAGGCAGAGAGGAUCAUUAUGUACAUAACACUUAAAGACUAGAAAGCAAAAGCUAUCAAUUCAUUGCUCAGCAGUCAAGAGUUUACUCUGAAAGCAGUACAGAUUCAUGUUCUAUCUCCAUGUUAUGUUUCUUGGGAUAAAUAUUGAAGAGGGUAGAACUUGCUUAUCCUUUAAUUUCUUCAAAUUACAAAUAUAAAUGUCAAGUUUCCAUGCCCCCCCCCCCCCCCAGUAUUACCCUGUAAAGGAAUCCUUAAAAGAUUGGUUUAAGUAUGAUUCACUUUAACACUAAAGCUGUAGGGGCUCAGGGAACAUUUCAUUAAUCCUGAAAUUUUAUUAGUAAUGUACAGAGAGCAUAGAGAGGACACAAGAAUAUACAAAUAACUUGGUUUCUAUUUGCUGAGUGGGAUGCUACAUUUUCAUUGAUAAUCACUAAGACAAGUAGAUUUCUUGUGUCUUAAUUUUGUGAGACACCAUUCACAAAAUACUAUGUGCAUAGAGUAAAUCAUUGUGUCUUUAACAAAGCUCUUAUUUGAUCCUUCUGUAGAUUUAACAGAGCUUUUUCUUUAAGAAAAUUAACAAAUGUCAAAGUAGAUUCACCUAAUUCAUCCUUCUUACUAGAUUAUUUUGUGUUCAUUUCAGACAAUAGCAAAGGGCUUUUUUUUUCUUCUUUCAUUUUUGACAUUGUAUGAAAAUCCAUGAAAGCAACAACUUGAGGAAUAGUGCAUAAAGACACUAAUAGCAUGUGCUAACUGUUGCAUUAUUUAUCUGCAAAUGGAAAUUUUAGAAUAUAUCUAAGAUUCUCUUAAAACCUUGGUAUAGUAGUAGGUAAUUGUUAUUAUAUGUAUAUUUGUAAUAACCUUUUAGAACAUUGGUUCUCAGCCUUUGGGUCAUGACUCCUUUGGGAUUAAAACAAUCCCUUCACGGGGGUGGCCUAAGAAAAUCGGAAAACAUGGAUAUUUGCAUUAAUACUCAGAAUAGCAAAAUUACAGUUAUGAAGUAACAACAAAAGUAAUUUUAUGGUGAGAGUCACCACAACAUGAGGACCUAUAGUAAAGGGUUGGGAGCAUACAGGAGGGUAAAUACCACUGUCAUAGGGCCUUACUGUGAUGUUGAGUUCCUAGAGUAGAAAGAUCCACAUGGUGCAGUAUGGCAGAUUCCAGGGCUAUGCUUCCAAGUGUCUUCUACCAAGUAGCCCCUGAAAAAUACUCUUCAUUCUUCCAGCAUCAGAUUUUGAUAGUAGUUCUGGAAGGCUAUCUCUAGUAUGCUCAAAUUGGAUUUAAAUUAAAUUUUUAAUAAGAUUAGAAUAGUUUUACCCUUACCUUUUGCCUAGCACAUGUGAAAAUUUAUAUCUUAGUGGGAAACUAAUAUUCAACAUGAGCACAUGAGCUGUUUUGUUGUUGUUGUUUUUGUUUGUUUGUUUGUUUGUUUUGUUUUUUGUGCAUGCAGCUUAGAAAUGGUAAGCAGCAUUUAGUAGAGUUAAGAAAAUUUUCUGGAAUAUAGCUUUUCUCGUGAAUAUAUGAUUACACUUUGUAUGGCCCGAAGCUUGGAUAUUUGCCUACUUCAGUCCAGUUCUGAGCCUAAUUUUAUGAGUUUAUGAGUCUACUGGGUUGUUGGAUUUAUUACCUACUAUAUCUAGAAAAAAUUAUUUAAUACCAUAUAAGAUAACAAGUGCAAUAUAUAAGUAUAUUUAAAAGCCAUCAGGCUUCUCCCCUGUUAGACUUAUGGGCGAAUUUCUUUAUUAAAUUCCUCACAUUGGUGUUAAUUUGGUUAACCAUACUAAUGCUUAAAUGAUCCUCUUGUCAUGCCUAACAUCAAUAGUUUUUUUUUUUAAGCUUUUGAGUCUAGUCGUAACUUCACUUAUAAAGUGGAGGAUCCAUAUACAAAAAUAAAUCUCAGCCAUAGCUGAUUGCUGUUUUACUGCACAAUGAAUGUAUAUUAAUCCCCAGGGCAAAUUCAUCUACCUUUGAUCUCAUACACUCGCUCCUCUCUUCUGUUUUACUUUUGAGUAGAUCAACUGAUGGUUUCUGAGUUUUUGCUUAUUUAGAUUUGUGUAGCUUGGCUUCUUUUCAGCAGUUAAAUCUGUCUACCUUGGUGUGAGUGACAAGAACCUUGUACUGAAUUAUAUUCUCAAGGCUCUACAUUGGUUUUUCCUAAGACAAUAUUGGAGAAACUAUUGUUACUUGUAAUUGUUGGGAUGUGUAGAGUAUUGGUUACUACUCACAUUACUUUUAAGAACUUCUAGGUUGAGUUGAUCCUGAGAAAACGAUUGAUGUUAUCUUAACCAACCAGAGAAUAGGUUUCUCACUUAGAUUUUAAACUUGGAAAAAUUUUAGGUUAUUUUUUUAGCUUAAAAAAUUUCAAGUGUAUUAAGAAGCCGGUUUAGAGAAUAUCUUUUUAAAAAACCAGAUUUCAAAAAUUUUGAAAACAGCUAGUUCUGUCUCUUGUCCGUAUACUUUCAGUUUUUAUACUCCUUUCAUUUUUCUUAAAAAACAGUCUGACAAAAUGAUUCCUUUUCUUUUUGUUUUAUUUUGUUUUGCGAAAAAAACCUUAAUUAGUCCUGGCUGUUGACUAUCUUAUCUUACGUGCUUAAGGAUAGCUUCAAACUCCUAGAGAUCACACUGCUUCUGCCUAUAGAGUUUUGGAACUAAAGACAUACACUAUUAUGCUUAGCUGUGCAGUGUUAUUUUUAAGCCAUGUCUAUCAUUUUCUGUAGUAUGAGAGGCAUGAAUUGUGUUCGCUGUUAACAUCAUACGCUUGUAAUUUCAGCUGCCUUGUGCUGAAGCUGUAUGAAUCCAGAGCCAGUCUGGACUAAGUAGGGAUUACAUGUUUUCAUUUAUGUUCAUAGGAUAUGAUACUCAUCCAGUUUUACAGUGGCAUGCCUUAAAAAAAUAGAUGAAAUAUAUGUAACUGUGCUUAUUCUUUGUUAUUUCUACUUAAGGGACCAGUUACUCUCCACAAGAAAACUCACACAACCACAGUGCACUUCAUAGUUCAAAUUCACAUUCUUCUAAUCCAAGCAAUAAUCCAAGCAAAACUUCAGAUGCAGUAAGUAUUAAAAUGAUGCUGGGCUGUCAAGAUUAAAAUGCAUACUGUAAAUGUUCUUAGAUGUUCUUUUAAUUUUUAAAAUAUUCAAUUGGUGUGGAGCUUAAUGUAUUUAUUUUCCUAUAUUAUAUAUGAAGUACAAAUAAUACCAGACCAACACAUUUCUAAAGUUAUUUAAGGUUUAAUUUCUUUUAGGUUUACAUAAGUUGCGUAUUUAUUCUCUGCUCUGUGCUUUGUACUUUGUUAGACAGUGAGGACAAUUUCUUGAUCCUCAGAGGCAUGAAAGAAAACACAGACCAUCAUUUUAAGUACUUAGGCAGGCUUAGAUUAAUGAAAUAACUGGAUACUUUCUAGUGUUGAAUUCAAUUGAGAUUUUUAUCUAUAUUCACUUAGCAAAAAAAAAAAAAAUACUUUAAUCAAAUAUGUGCUAAGGUGUCCUAAAACUUAGACAGUUUGGUUCAUUUUAUUGGAAGUUGUUGAUGUCUGGUGGUAACAGAAAUGCUAUCAAUUUAGAAUGUUGUUAAAACUGGGGGGCGGGGUGGGGGGAGGUCGUUAAGAAGACUUUCCAUCUCUUCCAACAAGUUGAGUAUAGCUUAGGGAGCUCAAUACUGUUUACUAGUAAAGAGAUAAAACAACGCUUAAUAAAAGACAUAGACGUGUGAAAUUGUUGGACAGGGUGGCACAGGACAAUACUGCCAGAAAUUUGAAUAAAUUUGCCAUAAUUAGCAAGAACUUUGAAGUCAGAUGUGAAUAAUAAAAUCGUGUCUUUUACUAAAGUGAAUUUCAUACAAGAGCGAAUGAAGGAUAUAAUAAAUGCAUAGCAAACACAGAUUUACAAUUUCAAAACUUACCAAAAGUGUUUAAAAUACAGGGAAGAGUAAAUAAAAGGAAAGGUGUUUGGAGAGAUGCCUCAGAGGUUAAGAGCACUUGCUGUUCUCCCAGAGUACCUACGUUCAGGUUCCAACAGUUUACAAACUGUAACUGAAUGGUACCUUUUAGCUCCCUGGGUACGUGCUCUGCACAUAGUAUGUACAUGCAGACAAAACAUAAAAUAUCAGUCUUAAAAUAUUCUUUAAGAACUUCAAAUAAAUUUCAGUAAAUUUUACCUGGGUGAUUCUCUUGCUUUAGUUGGCAUUGGAAGAUAGGUCUUAGCAUGUGUGUGUGGUUCCCUCACCCACUCUGGUCAAGUAGCAUAGUUGUAUAGAACAUUGGGAUAGCUAGUUAAAUAUUAUAGAAUUCUAAAAUGUAAUUUUAGAUGAUGUGCCAGGUCAAGUUAGGAAAUAAAUCAUGCUACUUAUUAACCAUGAGUUAAAUACAUAUAUAUGUAGACUUUAAACAAGGGCUCUUCUGAUUUUGCUCCUUUAGGGGAAAAAAAAAAGGGCCUGGAAAGAUGAUUUAGUUGUUUAAGACCAGGAUCACAACCAAAGU